Cyprinus carpio carpio is the source of this 1420-nucleotide long non-coding RNA. The record is from Ensembl. NCBI's taxonomy places the organism in Eukaryota, Metazoa, Chordata, Actinopteri, Cypriniformes, Cyprinidae.
AAACACAAGCUUCUCUUUAUUCCACAACAAACUCAGUUCCCAGACUAUGCAGAGCUGAUUGUCAAGUUUCUGGAUGCACUGAUUGACACCUAUCUGCCGGGCAUCGAUGAGGCAAUGAGCGAGGAGGGUCUGCACACACCCACCUCUCCAUACCCUCCACCUGUCCAGAGUCAGCUCAGCAUCACUGCUAACCUCAACCUCUCCAUUUCAAUGACCUCACUGGCCACCUCCCAGCAUACACCAGGAAUCGAUAAAGAGAAGGUGGAUCUGUCCCCCACCACAGGUCUGACAGCCAGCAGACGCACACGCCACGGUUCAGCCAGCCAGUGGGAUCAGUGGAAAGAGGAUGCUGCUGUCGUUUAGGCCGCUGAUCUCCGUCUCUGUGCUAACUCUGCUGGGCUGGUGCUGGUACAGCUUUAGUAGGAGGAGGACAACGAUGAAUCCAACACAAGUGAACAUGUGUUGUUCGGCCAGAAGCAGCCCUCUUUACUCCUCCCCUGCUGACUCCAGUAUUUUGGGCGAAAGUGAUCUGAGCAUGGACCACAGCAACUCAGGAUCCUCUGAAAUCAAAAACCUUACCAGCACCUCUUCCAAAACAGGCCUCACCAAGGGAGUUCGACCCGAGCCAGAAGGAGAAGUAUCCGUUCGCUUCCCUGAGACUCUCCAAACUGAGCAGGAAAAGGACAACGUUGCUGGUGAAGGUCAUCCAGACUGUGGAGAAGUUAGUGAAGAUGACUCUAGACUUGAGUCUGAUCUGGUUUGUCUCUCUUCAAACCACCUUGCCACCGACUCUCACACUUUAACAGAGCAACAGUCAGGUGCUGUCCGCUUGGACAGUCAUAAUGGCAGCAGCCUGACCACUGAUGGAGGCCUGAACCAGGAGAACCUGGAGAAGAUCAGUUCUGUUCAGCAGACAACAAGUCAUAGAUGCAGCAGCAGAGGACUGGAAAAACCAGGAACCCAGUGAUCCACAUGAGCCUGGAUUUCAGUUUGCUGCUCGAGAAUCAUUCAGCUGCGAUGACAACAGAAGAGUAUGCCUUCAGGAAGCCAGCUCUUUCAGGGAAAAACUACUCAGCCAUUUAAGAACUUCUGGUGAUGAUUCUGGAUGUGGUUCCUGCUUCUCAGAAGAUGCAUCCGAUGCAGAAGGGCUGACCAGAGAGUUGUCUGAGGAAGGUCAAGGGUUUGUUAUGAUCCCCACAGAAGCAAACACAGUCAGCAUUGAGAGCAAAAUGACUCCCUGUAUGCUCGAGGUGACAGAAGGAGAGGAGGAGGCCUUGAGAGGUUCAGAUGUUAAAAGCUGCAUUAGUGCUGACACUCAGGUGAGCAGCUUGGCUCCUCCUCCAACCCCACCCAUCAUUAUCUGAGACAUAGAGGUGCCAGCGGUGAGCUCCGCCCACAGACACACCCACAUACUGAAAUU